AUAACCUCGGGAAGCUGAGUAUAAUGCCCGAUAGAACAUUAUGCCUGGAAGGGUUUAUGUUCCAAAUGAUUUAUCGCCGUAGGAUGGGACUGCGACCUAUCAGCUUGUUGGUGAGGUAAUGGCCCACCAAGGCGAUUACAGGUACGGGCUCUGAGAGGAGAAGCCCGGAGAUGGGUACUGAGACACGGACCCAGGCCCUAUGGGGCGCAGCAGGCGAGAAAACUUUGCAAUGUGCGAAAGCACGACAAGGUUAAUCCGAGUGAUUUCUGCUAAGAAAUCUUUUGCCAGUCAUAAAACCACUGGUGAAUAAGGGGUGGGCAAGUUCUGGUGUCAGCCGCCGCGGUAAAACCAGCACCUCAAGUGGUCAGGAUGAUUAUUGGGCCUAAAGCAUCCGUAGCCGGCUUUGUUAGUUUUCGGUUAAAUCCAUGUGCUCAACGCAUGGGCUGCCGAAAAUACUGCAUAGCUAGGGAGUGGGAGAGGUAGACGGUACUCAGUAGGAAGGGGUAAAAUCCUUUGAUCUAUUGAUGACCACCUGUGGCGAAGGCGGUCUACCAGAACACGUUCGACGGUGAGGGAUGAAAGCUGGGGGAGCAAACCGGAUUAGAUACCCGGGUAGUCCCAGCUGUAAACGAUGCAGACUCGAUGAUGCAUUGGCAUAAUAGCCAGUGCAGUGUCGCAGGGAAGCCGUUAAGUCUGCCGCCUGGGAAGUACGUACGCAAGUAUGAAACUUAAAGGAAUUAGCGGGGGAGCACCACAAGGGGUGAAGCCUGCGGUCAAU
RNAcentral lists this ribosomal RNA (778 nucleotides) under uncultured marine group I thaumarchaeote. RNAcentral's name for it is "SSU rRNA". It matches the Rfam family "Archaeal small subunit ribosomal RNA", at positions 126 to 905 of the family's 1478-position model. The record is from RNAcentral. Lineage: Archaea; Thermoproteati; Nitrososphaerota.